RNAcentral lists this transfer RNA (31 nucleotides) under Phasmasaurus tillieri. RNAcentral describes it as "tRNA-Ser". Lineage: Eukaryota; Metazoa; Chordata; Lepidosauria; Squamata; Scincidae. The record is from RNAcentral.
GAGGGGCCAAAACACAAAGAACUGCUAAUUC